This 746-nucleotide ribosomal RNA is filed under the name uncultured bacterium. RNAcentral describes it as "bacterial SSU rRNA". It matches the Rfam family "Bacterial small subunit ribosomal RNA", at positions 33 to 773 of the family's 1533-position model. The record is from RNAcentral.
ACGCUGGCGGCAGGCCUAACACACGCAAGUCGAGCGGUAGAGAGAAGCUUGCUUCUCUUGAGAGCGGCGGACGGGUGAGUAAUGCCUAGGAAUCUGCCUGGUAGUGGGGGAUAACGUUCGGAAACGGACGCUAAUACCGCAUACGUCCUACGGGAGAAAGCAGGGGACCUUCGGGCCUUGCGCUAUCAGAUGAGCCUAGGUCGGAUUAGCUAGUUGGUGAGGUAAUGGCUCACCAAGGCGACGAUCCGUAACUGGUCUGAGAGGAUGAUCAGUCACACUGGAACUGAGACACGGUCCAGACUCCUACGGGAGGCAGCAGUGGGGAAUAUUGGACAAUGGGCGAAAGCCUGAUCCAGCCAUGCCGCGUGUGUGAAGAAGGUCUUCGGGAUUGUAAAGCACUUUAAGUUGGGAGGAAGGGCAUUAACCUAAUACGUUAGUGUUUUGACGUUACCGACAGAAUAAGCACCGGCUAACUCUGUGCCAGCAGCCGCGGUAAUACAGAGGGUGCAAGCGUUAAUCGGAAUUACUGGGCGUAAAGCGCGCGUAGGUGGUUUGUUAAGUUGGAUGUGAAAUCCCCGGGCUCAACCUGGGAACUGCAUUCAAAACUGACUGACUAGAGUAUGGUAGAGGGUGGUGGAAUUUCCUGUGUAGCGGUGAAAUGCGUAGAUAUAGGAAGGAACACCAGUGGCGAAGGCGACCACCUGGACUAAUACUGACACUGAGGUGCGAAAGCGUGGGGAGCAAAC